UAUUUAGACAUACUUAAAGGAAGCAAGAUCUUUUUAUAAGUGGGGCGAGUUGUCAGACCUUUAUUCAGUGGGGUUUAAACCUUUUUCGUUAAUUAGUGAGUUUUCAGACUGAUUGUUCAAUUUGAUUUUACACUUUUUCAAAGUGGGGCAAGUCAGUAAACAAGAGUGGGACGAUAUUUUUAUAAAGUGGGCGAUAUAGUGGGGGCCGAUUGGCAAGUGGG
This 221-nucleotide long non-coding RNA is filed under the name Mytilus galloprovincialis (Mediterranean mussel). Lineage: Eukaryota; Metazoa; Mollusca; Bivalvia; Mytilida; Mytilidae. The record is from RNAcentral.